GAUGAACGCUGGCGGCGUGCCUAACACAUGCAAGUCGAACGGAGCUGCUUUGAUGAAGUUUUCGGAUGGAUUUAAAACAGCUUAGUGGCGGACGGGUGAGUAACGCGUGGGUAACCUGCCUCACACUGGGGGAUAACAGUUAGAAAUAGCUGCUAAUACCGCAUAAGCGCACGGUUCCGCAUGGAACAGUGUGAAAAACUCCGGUGGUGUGAGAUGGACCCCGCGUCUGAUUAGCCAGUUGCGGGGUAACGGCCCACCAAAGCGACGAUCAGUAGCCGGCCUGAGAGGGUGAACGGCCACGAUUGGGACUGAGACACGGCCCAAACUCCUACGGGA
Molecule: ribosomal RNA, 336 nt
Filed under: uncultured bacterium
Lineage: Bacteria
Description: bacterial SSU rRNA
Rfam family: Bacterial small subunit ribosomal RNA
Source: RNAcentral